CUGACUCCUCUCCUGUCCCCUCUCCAGCUGUCCCCGGCCCUGCUGCAGCCAGAGGUCACUGUUGUGGCCAUCCUGGGUGAGCUGCUGGGCACCCUGCCCAGGCAGGACGAGGAGAUGAAUCUGCUCGUGUUCCCAGGGUGCCUGUAUGGGUAUCUGGAAGUUUUCACCAGCAACCUCUGGGACACCCUCUACAGCACUGAUGACACCUGGAGGCAAUGUCACAUCAGAUGAUGAUGACCCUGUCACCUCCCUGAGCCGGGCCCUGGCUGCCUACAAGAGCACCCCAGGGAUCCCCCGGAACCAUGUGACAAUGGCAGCCAGCGAGUGGCAGGGGUCGGUGUCUGUGCUGAUGAAUAGCUGGGCUGAGCUGGCCAGGACAGCCACUGAGCUCCACAGCACCUGCAGGGAUUUGGCCACCAAGGCGGCCGACAGGGCGGCCACAGCCACCACCUGGGCCAGGGAGCUGCAGGAAGAGGCUGCCUGUGAUGGGACAGCUCAGGAAAACAUGGUGGAGCUGGGUCAGGCCCUGGGCUGGGAGGAGGGGGCCGAGGUGGUGGCUGGGCAUGGAGCCCAGGUGAGGAGAGAGGCCAGGGUGGCUGCCAGCGAGUAAACAAGGGCCACCAUGGUGAGACAGCGGGUGGAGGUGGCCCUGGGGCUGCUGGAGCGCUUGGUGGCCGCGUGUGACGAAGCCACUGCGUUCCCCCAGGAGCUGUGGCGCCUGCUCAGGGACAUCGAUGCCACCCUGGAGGGGACAAAUGAGGUGUCCCCUGAGGUCCCCUAGGACUUGGUGGCCAAGGUGGCCGUGGCCGAGCAGCUGUGGGAGGCCAAGACACACCUAGUCAAGGAUCACCUGCUGGGGGCAGUUGAUGACAUCAUCAAGGUCUAUUUCACUGGUGGUCCUGCCUGCCCCAGUGCCUGUGAGGUGGCUUAGCAGUGCCAAUGAGGCAUCGAGGACAUCCCAAGGCUCCUUCGACCCCCAGAAUGUCCCCAGAGCAUCCCCAGUGUGUCCCCAGUGAGCAUGGAGCUCCAAGAGGUGCGANAACAAGGGCCACCAUGGUGAGACAGCGGGUGGAGGCGGCCCUGGGGCUGCUGGAGCGCUUGGUGGCCGCGUGUGACGAAGCCACCGCAUUCCCCCAGGAGCUGCAGCGGCUGCUCAGGGACAUCGAGGCCACCCUGGAAGGGACAAAUGAGGCACCCCCCACUGUCCCUGAGGACUUGGUGGCCAAGGUGGCCGUGGCUGAGCAGCUGUGGGAGGCCAACGCCCCCCUGGCCAAGGAUCACCUGGGGAAGACUCUUCCAGACACCAACGAAUUCUUGUUCACUGAUGGUCCCAACAGCCCCAGUGCCUGUGAGCUGGCCAAGCAGUGCCAAAGAGUCAUCGAGGACAUCCCAAGGCUCGUUCAAUCCCCAGUGUCCCCAGAGCGUCUCCAAAGUGUCCCCAGUGAGCAUGGAUCCCCAAGAGGUGUCCCUGGCCCUGCUGCAACCACAGGUCACAAUGGCGGCCAUCCUGGGCGAGCUGCUGGCCACCCUGCCCAGUCGUGAUGAGAUGAAUCUGCUGCUCACGCCCUCAAGGCACAUGUACUCGCACCUAUGGUCAUUCAGCUGGCAGCUCAAGGCCAUCCGGGACUGCAUUGAAGUCCCCUGGUGGCGCCACAAUGAUGAUGAAGCGCCUACGAUGAUGAAGACCCUUUCACCUCCCUGAGCCGGGCCCUGUUCGUCGGAGAGAAACCCCCAGGGCCCCCCCAAAAGCGUGUGACAAUGGCAGCCAGGAAGUAGCACAAGUCGGUGGUUCCGCUUGUGAACAGCUGGGCCCAGCUGGCCAGGACGGCCACCAAACUCCGCAACACCUGCAGGGAUUUGGCCACCAAGGCGGCCGACAGGGCAGCCACCACCACUACCCGGGCCAAGGAGCUGCAGGACACGGCUGCCCAUGAUGGGACAGCUCAGGAAAACAUGGUGGAGCUGGGUCAGGCCCUGGGCUGGGAGGAGGGGGCCGAGGUGGUGGCCGGGCAUGGAGCCCAGGUGAGGAGAGAGGCCAGGGUGGCUGCCAGUGAGGCAACAAGGGCCACCAUGGAGAGACAGCGGGUGGAGAUGGCCCUGGGGCUGCUGGAGCGCUUGGUGGCCGCAUGUGACGAAGCCACUGCGUUCCCCUGGGAGCUGCAGCGCCUGCUCAGGGACAUCAAGACCACUCUGAAGGGGACAACUGAGGCACCCCCCACUGUCCCUGAGGACUUGGUGGCCAAGGUGGCCGUGGCUGAGCAGCUGUGGGAGGACAAGGCCCGCCUGGUCAAGGAUCACCUGCUCGGGACAGUUCGAGACAUCAUCAAGUUGUAUAUCGAUAGUGGUCCUGCCCACCUCAGUGCCCACCCCAGCCAUGGGGUGGCUGUGCGGUGCCAAAGAGCCAUCGAGGACAU
RNAcentral lists this long non-coding RNA (2414 nucleotides) under Zonotrichia albicollis (white-throated sparrow). RNAcentral's name for it is "lncRNA (ENSZALG00000002065.1)". Lineage: Eukaryota; Metazoa; Chordata; Aves; Passeriformes; Passerellidae. The record is from RNAcentral.